RNAcentral lists this transfer RNA (74 nucleotides) under Loxodonta africana (African savanna elephant). It matches the Rfam family "tRNA". Rfam says of the family: Transfer RNA (tRNA) molecules are approximately 80 nucleotides in length. Their secondary structure includes four short double-helical elements and three loops (D, anti-codon, and T loops). The record is from Rfam by way of RNAcentral. Lineage: Eukaryota; Metazoa; Chordata; Mammalia; Proboscidea; Elephantidae.
CCCUGGGUGGUGCAAAUGGUUACUGCACUUGGCUGCUAACCAAGAAGUUGGUGGUUCGAGUCCACCCAGAGGUA